GACUCCAAAAGCUAUCAAAACCAAAGUGGUCUGUGGGGCGAACGAGGCCAAUGACAUAUUUGUCGACAUCCACACGAGUCCUACUGGGGAACACUGUGGCCAGACGAAAACAAGAGACGCAAUCUCUAAAAGGUUUUAAUGGCCAGGGAUGUAGUUAGACAACAAGUGUGUUUACCAGCCAUUCGAGUUGGUGGGAAUGGAUCUUAUCGGCAAACGAACCGAGACAAAUCAGGACAAUCAAUACAUCUGUGUGAUGAUUGACUUUUUUACGAAAUGGCCACAGGCUUAUGCUCUUACAUCAAAGAGUGCCAAGGAAGUGGUCCAGUGUCUAAUUCAAUUUGUGUAUGAGUUCGAAGCCGCCAGAAGAAUACUGACAGAUCAGGGGAAAUAAUCAGUCAGUGCUGUCAACUCAUAAGUGUGUGAAAUACUUCCCAUGAAAAGAAGCCUCUGCUCUCCCUACCACCCACCAAAAAAUGGGUUGGUAGAGAACACAAUCCAGAGGUUUGUACAGCUCCCAUAUGAGGAGCUUCAGGAACUACGUGAAACAAAAAGCCAAGUAACGCCCCAACAACAUCUUCUGUGGCUUCCUUUACUGUGGUCCUGGGACAAGUGAGCUGGUCUGUGCAAGAAUAUUUCAAGUCCUUGGUACCCACCAGUGACCAAGCAGCCAGAGUUCAGCAUUCCUCAGCCCCCUGCUUCCCUUGUGGAUCCUAGAGAGUUGCUACCCCAGCUAACUUAGAGACCAGCCACCCUGUUCACAAGCCAGGAAUACAUUGACGCCUGGACCUGUAUACCACCCUUUCAAUGCCUCUCCUGGAGAAAUAAACAGUCGUCUGCCCUUGGACAUGCCAUUCAAGCUCCGCCUCCACAGAAGGAGCUGCUCUCUGCACAACUUC
Long non-coding RNA from Dunckerocampus dactyliophorus (ringed pipefish), 896 nucleotides. RefSeq lists it as uncharacterized. The transcript has 5 exons. The record is from RefSeq and is a predicted model, not a curated record. Lineage: Eukaryota; Metazoa; Chordata; Actinopteri; Syngnathiformes; Syngnathidae.